This 653-nucleotide ribosomal RNA is filed under the name uncultured bacterium. RNAcentral describes it as "bacterial SSU rRNA". It matches the Rfam family "Bacterial small subunit ribosomal RNA", at positions 852 to 1501 of the family's 1533-position model. The record is from RNAcentral.
UUAACACAAUAAGUAUCCCACCUGGGGAGUACGGCCGCAAGGUUGAAACUCANNNNAAUUGACGGGGGCCCGCACAAGCAGUGGAGUAUGUGGUUUAAUUCGAAGCAACGCGAAGAACCUUACCAGGUCUUGACAUGGGGAUGACCGGUGCAGAGAUGCACCUUUCCUUCGGGACAUCCCACACAGGUGGUGCAUGGUUGUCGUCAGCUCGUGUCGUGAGAUGUUGGGUUAAGUCCCGCAACGAGCGCAACCCCUAUCCUAUGUUACCAGCGGGUAAUGCCGGGGACUCAUGGGAGACUGCCAGGGACAACCUGGAGGAAGGCGGGGAUGACGUCAAGUCAUCAUGCCCCUUAUGUCUUGGGCUACACACGUACUACAAUGGUCGGCAACAAAGGGCAGCGAAACCGCGAGGUGGAGCAAAUCCCAGAAACCCGGCCUCAGUUCGGAUUGCAGGCUGCAACUCGCCUGCAUGAAGUCGGAAUCGCUAGUAAUCGCAGGUCAGCAUACUGCGGUGAAUACGUUCCCGGGCCUUGUACACACCGCCCGUCACACCACGAAAGUUGGUAACACCCGAAGCCGGUGAGGUAACCAGUAAUGGAGCCAGCCGUCUAAGGUGGGGCCGAUGAUUGGGGUGAAGUCGUAACAAGGUAACC